GAGCAGAUGAUGAAAGAAAUGAAACAACUACUGCUGAAAUUAAAUUGCAUGAUGUUUCAAAAUUUCGAGCUUUUUAAAACUGAUGCUCA
Molecule: non-coding RNA, 89 nt
Organism: Beta vulgaris subsp. vulgaris (sugar beet)
Lineage: Eukaryota; Viridiplantae; Streptophyta; Magnoliopsida; Caryophyllales; Amaranthaceae
Source: Rfam